ACACGUGAAAGGAGGUGGUCCGAAGUUGUAUAGCAACGGGACUCGUGAGGUGGCUGUCCGCUAGCCGCUGUCCUCGACAGCUUCGAGUUUUUCUGUAGUACGUCGAGACCGUGUGGCAGCGGUCAGGCGAGUACCAGGCAGCCACCCGACCCCCGGGGAUCCGGCCUUGUCCGACCGGACCUCGCACCCUCACCGGUGCGAGGAAGUCCCCGGGGGUCGCCUUAU
Molecule: small RNA, 225 nt
Filed under: Actinoplanes sp. N902-109
Lineage: Bacteria; Bacillati; Actinomycetota; Actinomycetes; Micromonosporales; Micromonosporaceae
Description: Actinobacteria sRNA Ms_IGR-5
Rfam family: Actinobacteria sRNA Ms_IGR-5
Source: Rfam by way of RNAcentral